UACGGAGGGGGCUAGCGUUGUUCGGAAUUACUGGGCGUAAAGCGCACGUAGGCGGCUUUGUAAGUUAGAGGUGAAAGCCCGGGGCUCAACUCCGGAAUUGCCUUUAAGACUGCAUCGCUAGAAUUGUGGAGAGGUAAGUGGAAUUCCGAGUGUAGAGGUGAAAUUCGUAGAUAUUCGGAAGAACACCAGUGGCGAAGGCGACUUACUGGACCGGUACUGACGCUGAUGCGCGAAAGCGUGGGGAGCAAACGGG
RNAcentral lists this ribosomal RNA (253 nucleotides) under uncultured bacterium. Its description in RNAcentral is "partial 16S ribosomal RNA". It matches the Rfam family "Bacterial small subunit ribosomal RNA", at positions 524 to 776 of the family's 1533-position model. The record is from RNAcentral.